This 840-nucleotide ribosomal RNA is filed under the name uncultured bacterium. Its description in RNAcentral is "bacterial SSU rRNA". It matches the Rfam family "Bacterial small subunit ribosomal RNA", at positions 28 to 896 of the family's 1533-position model. The record is from RNAcentral.
CCUGAACGCUGGCGGCGUGGCUAAGACAUGCAAGUCGUACGGUGUAGCAAUACACAGUGGCGAACGGGAGAGUAAUGAAUCGCUAAUGUGCCCCGGACUCUGGGAUAGCUAGUCGAAAGAUUAGGUAAUACCAGAUGACAUAUCUUUAUCGCAUGAUAGAGAUCUCAAAGGUCCGCCGGUCUGGGAGCAGGCGAUUUCGUAUCAGCUAGUUGGUGAGGUAACGGCUCACCAAGGCGACGACGCGUAGCCGGACUGAGAGGCUGGCCGGCCUCAUUGGGACUGAGACACUGCCCAGACUCCUACGGGGGGCUGCAGUAACGAAUCUUCCGCAAUGCACGAAAGUGUGACGGAGCGACGCCGCGUGUGGGACGAAGUCCUUCGGGAUGUAAACCACUGUCAGGGGUUACCAAGUUCUGAGGAGCCCCAGAGGAAGGGACGGCUAACUCUGUGCCAGCAGCCGCGGUAAUACAGAGGUCCCGAGCGUUAGGCGGAAUCACUGGGCUUAAAGCGUGUGUAGGCGGAUGCCUAAGUACCUUGUGAAAUCCCACGGCUUAACCGUGGAACUGCUUGGUAUACUGGGUGUCUUGAGCCACUUAGGGGCUACCGGAACAAAUGGUGGAGCGGUGAAAUGCGUAGAUAUCAUUUGGAACGCCAAUGGUGAAAACAGGUAGCUGGGAGUGUGCUGACGCUGAGACACGAAAGCCAGGGGAGCGAACGGGAUUAGAUACCCCGGUAGUCCUGGCCGUAAACGAUGUCGACUAGAUCGUGGUGGCUCUGACGCCUUCAUGGUCGAAGCAAAAGUGCUAAGUCGACCGCCUGGGAAGUACGGUCGCAAGGCUA